UACGAAGGGGGCUAGCGUUGUUCGGAAUUACUGGGCGUAAAGCGCACGCAGGCGGUCUGCUAAGUUUGGAGUGACAGUUGGUGGCUUAACUGCCAAAGUGCUUCGAAAACUGACAGACUUGAGGGCUUCAGAGGGACACGGAAUUCCGGGUGGAGUGGUGAAAUGCGUAGAGAUCCGGAGGAACACCAAAGGCGAAGGCAGUGUCCUGGGGAGUACCUGACGCUCAGGUGCGAAAGCCAGGGGAGCGAACGGG
Molecule: ribosomal RNA, 253 nt
Filed under: uncultured bacterium
Lineage: Bacteria
Description: partial 16S ribosomal RNA
Rfam family: Bacterial small subunit ribosomal RNA
Source: RNAcentral